Molecule: ribosomal RNA, 874 nt
Filed under: Pezicula californiae
Lineage: Eukaryota; Fungi; Ascomycota; Leotiomycetes; Helotiales; Dermateaceae
Description: eukaryotic LSU rRNA
Rfam family: Eukaryotic large subunit ribosomal RNA
Source: RNAcentral
UACCUCAGUAACGGCGAGUGAAGCGGUAACAGCUCAAAUUUGAAAUCUGGGUCUUUCAGGCUCCGAGUUGUAAUUUGUAGAAGAUGCUUCGGGUGCGGCUCCGGUCUAAGUUCCUUGGAACAGGACGUCAUAGAGGGUGAGAAUCCCGUAUGUGAUCGGGGGCUUGUGCCCGUGUGAAGCUCUUUCGACGAGUCGAGUUGUUUGGGAAUGCAGCUCUAAAUGGGUGGUAUAUUUCAUCUAAAGCUAAAUAUUGGCCAGAGACCGAUAGCGCACAAGUAGAGUGAUCGAAAGAUGAAAAGCACUUUGGAAAGAGAGUUAAACAGUACGUGAAAUUGUUGAAAGGGAAGCGCUUGCAACCAGACUUGCGCGUGGUCGAUCAUCCGGGGUUCUCCUCGGUGCACUCGAUCUCGCUCAGGCCAGCAUCGGUUUCGGUGGUUGGAUAAAGGCCUUGGGAAUGUAGCUCCUCUCGGGGAGUGUUAUAGCCCUCGGUGCAAUGCAGCCUACUGGGACCGAGGACCGCGCUUCGGCUAGGAUGCUGGCGUAAUGGUUGUAAGCGACCCGUCUUGAAACACGGACCAAGGAGUCUAACAUCUAUGCGAGUGUUUGGGUGUUAAACCCAUACGCGUAAUGAAAGUGAACGGAGGUGAGAACCCUUAAGGGUGCAUCAUCGACCGAUCCUGAUGUCUUCGGAUGGAUUUGAGUAAGAGCAUAGCUGUUGGGACCCGAAAGAUGGUGAACUAUGCCUGAAUAGGGUGAAGCCAGAGGAAACUCUGGUGGAGGCUCGCAGCGGUUCUGACGUGCAAAUCGAUCGUCAAAUUUGGGUAUAGGGGCGAAAGACUAAUCGAACCAUCUAGUAGCUGGUUCCUGCCGAAGU